AGCCCGAUCCAGAAUUUGAGCAACUAGGUACCAACCAAGGCCACUCGCAAACUAAUUUGUCCUGAUCAAAGACCAAGUCAUACGGACAACGGAAUUCGAAAGCCAUCAUUUCUGGUCCACCUAUCAUAAAGUUCUUACGCAAAAAACCAACGACAAUUUCGUGGAUCAGCAUAGUAUCCUGGUUUAGGAGGACAUUGAAAUCUAACUUGAGGAGCAGGUGCCACUUCGCUGCUUCCAGGACAUGGAGAUCCUUGAGACAAAGAUCCUGGCCAAACACAAACUUCCGUACGCUCGUCGAAUGCCAAUCCAGCUGGACAAUCAAAUUCGAAGACCGAGAUGCACGAAGUAGCCUUGUCUUGUACAGAUAAAUUCAGUUUGGGUAUUUUCACGUACUGCACGAAUAUGUCCCUCGGUAUCAACUACUCGCACCACUCUAUAGCCAGACGAUUUUGCUUUAUUUGGGCGAUCUGGUGCAGUUACGUCGGCACGACGCGCCCGUGUAUACGAUCGGACUGUGCGAAGGGAAAGGAACUUUUUAGAAAAUUGCAUCGCUCAUAAAAAGGCUGCGGCUAACUUAAAAAGGAGACACUCACUCGUUUGUAGGCGUUUCUGAUGACUAGAGUCACCGCUCACAAUAUAAUAACUCUGCGUAAGACGGAUUUCAUUAAUUUGACGUACAUUAUAUCGGACCAUAUCGGAUAGAACAACUUUACAUUA
Vespa mandarinia (Asian giant hornet) is the source of this 717-nucleotide long non-coding RNA. NCBI's taxonomy places the organism in Eukaryota, Metazoa, Arthropoda, Insecta, Hymenoptera, Vespidae. The record is from RefSeq and is a predicted model, not a curated record.